Molecule: long non-coding RNA, 2290 nt
Organism: Xiphophorus hellerii (green swordtail)
Lineage: Eukaryota; Metazoa; Chordata; Actinopteri; Cyprinodontiformes; Poeciliidae
Exons: 2
Source: RefSeq, a predicted model, not a curated record
UAAGAGGGGAGCCGUUCCCAAGGCUCCCGGUGAGGCCUGGGGAUUGAGUUUGGAUCCAGGCCCGGUUCGUGCAGAACUCCCACAGGAGCCUGGAGCUUUUCCCAUGGGCCCCCAAAAUUGCAGCAGAGUUCUUUGGGAUCCUGGUCCAAAAACACAGACAGCCGCGGAUGUAGCAGCGCGCGCGGCUCGUUUGGCGCCACGGCGGUCUGCUGUUAUGGCUAGCGGGGAUACCGCCAGCAGCAGCCGAACGAUGGGCAGAGCUCUGCUUCCACUCCGGUAUCUGCCCUCAUCAGCAGCAAUCAGAGCGGCCCGAUAGCGCUAUCAGCAGCUGCAUCGGAUGGAUCUCCCUGCUCUGUCCUGCCUUCUCACACUUCUUCCUACCCUCAUCGCCUUCGCUCCUCCUCUUUCUCGUCUUUCCUCCUUCUCACCUCUCUCUCCGCACCUCCUCCUUCUCCUCCUUUACAAAAAUUCCUGCAAUCAAUGUAGUGAUUUAACUUGAAUUUCAGGAAAUUCAAAUUAAGAUGCUUAGAUUGCGUUGUAAUUUAAACUUCAAGUUUUGCGUGGCGCCCUGAUGUUUGGUUGCCAGCAGAGGGUUCAAAAGCAGGUACGAGAUCUCUUUAUUAAUUUAUUUUUAUUUGUGUCCUGUCGGCAGUGUAGCACUCAGAAUUACUGUCAGAGUACCAAGCUGAACCCAACAGAUUUGCUUUCACAAGUGGAGGGUUACAGCUGUGAUGCUUUGCAUCUGGAAAGUAUUCACAGCACUUCAUUUUUACAAAGUUUUUGCUAUAAUCUUAUUCCAAAUUGUACUGAAUUAAAAAAUUUUAUCAGAAUUCUAGACACAAAUCCUAAUCUUGACAACUUGGACAAACAUUUAUGUCACAUUUGUGUCAUUGUGCCAGCUCUUUAGAAAGGCCCUUUAAGAAUCUACAACGUCAAUUAGCUAAAGCAUAACCUAAGAAAAAUUUUAGAAAAGUUGCUAUACAUGAGGUGGCUGUGGCUGUUUCUUUAUGUUAUUUCUGGAUUCUAUUAUUUUUUGAGUGUUAAUACAAAUUGUAUGAAAAUGAACACUUUCCUCAAAGUUUUACAUGCAAAUAUCCCGUUACGUUAAUGUGGAAGGUUUUUUUAGUGUUUUAAAAUUGUAUUAAAAAUAGCAAACCAAGAAAUGAAAUUUGUGUAAUUAUUCAGAGCCUCCAUGAAGCUCAGGUCAGGGGUUGAGGAGUAAAAUAAAAUUGAGCUACAAUAACACAAAAAAGUUACCAUAUAUUCUGUCUGCUAUUUAUAAUGGUGUUAAAAUAUUUUAACAUUUCUUUCCAUUAAAUGUAAUUUCUCUAAUUUCUCCAUUACUUCUAUGUCAAAGUGCUUUACUCCUUCUGGAUGUCAUGUAAUUCCGUUUUAGCAGAUCUACGACUACAGAACUGUAAAUGAUUUCCUUGAUUGAUGAAGGUGUACAAAUCAAAUUAUGGGAAGCAGCGAUGGCUGUUUGUUAAUGAAGCAUUGCCUCUAUCCUCUGCACACAAUGCAAAGCAGUUCAUUACACAAACAGAACAUGGACAGGCACAUAGGAGCAGAAUGAUGGCACAUUAAACAUGGCGGUAAAGAUUCAUAGAUAACAUUAAGCUUUUGUGUAAAUCAAAACAAUUUCCUGUUUUGCUGACAUGUUGUUAUAAGAGUGAAUUGUUGAGCUGCUGGUUAUUGUUUAGAGCUGCACAAAAUCGGCAUCAUUAAGUGCAGGAAACCACUUCUCUAUAAAAAGGCAUCUGAAUUAUGUAAAAAAAAAAAACAUUUAUCACUCUAAAUAUAACUGUCUAUGGAGUAUUUAGGUUGUAUUAUUGGUGGAAAUUGUUCAACAGUGAGACAUGAUUUCAAGAGUUUUAAUUAAUUUUACUUGGAAGUAUAUAUCCAAUAUAUAUCCAGUAUAUAUCAAAUAUUAAAAAACACCUAAUCAAUAAAUCAAAAAGUUGAACUGGGAUAUUGCAGUGUAAACGUAUUCAUAAUGUGUGAACUAUUUUUCAUGUUGUGUCACAAUACAAUAGCAGAUCUAAGUGCAUUUUAUUGAGCUUCAUUGUGAAACAGAGCAUAAUUAAAAAGUGGAGAUAAAAAAAUCUAAAAAAUGUGUAUCCUGCUCUCUGAGUUAAUACUUUAUAAGCACCCCUCACUAAAGGAUGACCCUGAACAUAACAUCGUCCUCAUGUUUUAAUUGUUUGCUUGUUUGUUUUUAGGUUUGCUAAUGUUCUGUUAAAUUGUAACUAGAAUACUUUAAAACAUAAUAAAGACAAAGAGAAAAAAAACA